GACGAACGCUGGCGGCGUGCCUAACACAUGCAAGUCGAACGGAAAGGCCCUUCGGGGUAUUCGAGUGGCUAACGGGUGAGUAACUCGUGGGUGAUCUGCCCUCCACUUUGGGAUAAGCCUGGGACACCGGGACUACUACAGAAUAGGACCAUGCGCUUUUUGGUGUGUGGUGGCAAGCUUUUGCGGUGUGAGAUGGGCCCGCGGCCUAUGAGCUUGUUCGGGGAGUAAUGGCUGACCAAGGCGGCGCUUGAUAGCCGGCCUGAGAGUGGGACCAGCGACCCUGGGCCUGAGGUACGCCCCAGACGCGAAUGGGACGCAGCGGGGGGGAAUAUUGCACAAUAGCGGCACGCCUGAUACAACGGCGCCGGGAGAGGAAUGACGGCCUACGGGUUAUAAACCUCUUUCAAUAGAGACAAAGCGCAAGUGACGGUACCUAAAGAAAAAGCCCCGGCUAACUACGUG
RNAcentral lists this ribosomal RNA (462 nucleotides) under uncultured bacterium. RNAcentral describes it as "partial 16S ribosomal RNA". It matches the Rfam family "Bacterial small subunit ribosomal RNA", at positions 28 to 507 of the family's 1533-position model. The record is from RNAcentral.